Molecule: non-coding RNA, 53 nt
Submitted as: unclassified sequences
Source: Rfam
UCCUGACAGUCACAAGGUGUGGCUGACUUAACCCACGACAGGAGAUAAUCAUG